This 503-nucleotide long non-coding RNA is filed under the name Fukomys damarensis (Damara mole-rat). Its description in RNAcentral is "lncRNA (ENSFDAG00000024906.1)". Lineage: Eukaryota; Metazoa; Chordata; Mammalia; Rodentia; Bathyergidae. The record is from RNAcentral.
GUGCUGGAGAGGGCAUUCUGCUUGUUUCUCCAUCCAGAAAAUAUUAAGUGACCACCAUGUGCUGCUAUCUGCCUCCCCAGCUGUGACAGAGAGAUGGCGUAAUGACAGGGAUGACAAGUUCUUUUCUGGGAUGGUGGGAUCUUCCCUGCGCUCUCAGCUGCUCCCUGGUGGCACGACUGAGGCACCCUGAGCACCUCAAAGCCUCAAAGCCAGAGCCCUGCAGGCCUUGCAGUGGGAUUCCCCAGGUCAUCUCAGAAGACCAUCACGAGGGUUGCACGCCACAGAGCUGUCUUCUGCCCAGAAAGUGCACGAGAAUACAGGGACUGCAUAUCAGUGACCUUGCCCACCCUGGUGCCUGCCUUUGGGGCAGUCUCUGGCUCCAAUCAUCUGCAUCAUCACCACAGCAACCUGAAAGUAACACUAACAACUGCACAACUCCCACAAAUGCUCACCGUGUUAAAGUUCCAGGACCAAAUCCUCCCGACAGGAUUUUCCCUCCCUAG